UGACGGGGCAGGGAGCGGUGGUGGUGUUGCGAAAGAGCCGCUGCCGGUGAGCGACCUCUUCCUCCGAGACAAGCAGUUUAUUUACAUCCAGUGGCUGCUCCGGUGAAUAUGUAUAAUAAUCUGUAUGGAUAUAUGUGAUUUUGUGCGUCUGUAGUGGGCAGUGGGCCAUUUAAGUAAUGUUUACUAAUGUGCCUCUUUAGUUUUCCUUCUGUUUGAUGUUUACAUAAUGUUGUCGUGCUUCACUUGUUAAAUGUACAAAAUGUCUUUCCAUAUGAGAGGCCACUAAAAUUACGCAUGACCGUGAUUUGAUUAUCAUGAUGUAGUGCGCAGUUUCCAGCGCUCUUUCCCAACGUUACCCGGAAAUAAGCAAAGCAUUUUUUCCCCCUGCCUUAUAAAACAUGCCUGUGCGGAUUUGAGGCUCAUUUUCCUCGGAGACAGCGAGAGGGCAGAAGAGUUGGAUGGGAUGGAGAGGUGUGCUGGAUGUUUGCUGCAGGAGGAUGUUGCGCACUUCAAUUUACCUCAGGAGUGAGUGGUCUGUGUAUCCAUGCGGUACUGCGUAAUGGUUUGAUUUAUGAGGUAGAUGUUGUUAUUGACCAUGUCAAAAUGAAUGUUUAGUUUGUUUUCAGCUGAGCAGGCUUUAAUCUGUUUCAUUUAGCCUGUAAAGUCCAAUGUAUGAGCAGAAGGAUUUAGUAAGUUUAAACUUAAGUAAAGGAGAAGAAGAAGGUAAAUAUAUUAAUACUGUAUAAAAAAAUACUUAAAAACUAGUAUACUAUCAAGAAAUUUAAUUCAUAUAGGAAAAAGUACUCUUUCAGGGGAUUUUUCAGAUAUUCUGCUGACUUUUAAUUUUGCCACUAUUGCACCUGUCAGAGUGCGUCAUGCUGUGUUUAUAGUGCUGUUUCCAUCUGAACAGAUUGUUUUUCAACCGUGAAAUGUGUAAUGAAAAGAAAAAUUAGCCAUUUAAUGUGUAUGAAGUUGAAAUUAUGUAAGAUUGUUUCUUCGAUUGUUCUUUUACAGAAAUAGAUCUGUCACUUAGUUGAUUUUUCAAUGCGCAUUGUGCGUAAAGGCUCUUUUUUUCCCCUGUUUUUAAAUCUAUAGUGCGUGUGCCUGUUGUGCCAGCGCCUUGACUCAGCUCCAUCCAUCCAGAGGUUUCUAUGUCAUACGCACUUUUUAUUCCUGAUGUAAACAAACCCUUAGAAAGCAAUACCCCAAUUUAACACAGGAUGGCGCAUUUGUGCAAGCUUAGAGAACAGUUUGUACCAAAGCAAGAAAGUUAUCCAAAACAGUGUUCUGGGAAUGAGUGAGAGACCUUAAUGGGAAGUAUUGAUGCAGCACUACAAAGUGAGAGUGGAACAGCAGCUUACACAUCUAAAUGAAAAGCCAUUGACUGUAUAUUUUUGUUCAUCUUGUACCUAAUAAUUCUGUUGACAGAACAACUGGUACAUCCAUCUGUUGUGCUUCGGAAAUGAAAUGCCAGAACAUCUCUCGACGUCAGAAACCUCAAAAUAACUGCAGUCCUUUGACCAGUUGAUUUGCUAACUACUUAAGAGGCACAGUAAGGGAAAACAUUCGGCGUUAACCUUAGAAAUUAAAACCGAUUGCCGUCUGAGUUGAUAUUGCUAUUCCUCUUUUCACAGAGAGAAAAUAGGCCUUGCUUUCAACUUUCCAUGAAAGUGCCGCCGUCUCAUUAACAUUAGAAAUGAAGAAUCAUCUGAUCAAGGGCAGAGCUGUGGUAGGCAGCCCUGAAAGACGAAGUGCAAGUGGUAGGUCUAUUCACAGAGUUGAAGUGUCAGA
Stegastes partitus (bicolor damselfish) is the source of this 1791-nucleotide long non-coding RNA. RefSeq lists it as uncharacterized. The transcript has 3 exons. NCBI's taxonomy places the organism in Eukaryota, Metazoa, Chordata, Actinopteri, Pomacentridae. The record is from RefSeq and is a predicted model, not a curated record.